AAAAAGAGGAAGUCACGAUAAUGCGAAGCUGGAAGAAAAGCAGCCCUUACACUUCACAGUAAAAUCCGUUUUCUUUGCACUUUUUUAUUAACAGCUCCAACUAUGAUCAGUGCAUAAAUCUACCUGCAACACAGGAUGUUGGAAAAUUACCGAGAGACAGCAACGUCCUCCCUGCUGCUUGGAGAGAGAGGAAGGAUGCACCUGCAGUUCAAAUACUGGGCUUGGUGACCGUCUUGUGGGAUCCUGAAUGCUGUGUCUGUGUGCCUCCCAGCCCCUGUAGACAACAACUAGGAGACGUUCAUGACUGUACCAGGAACCAGCAGCAAGACACGGGCACAAAGGUGAGCCAAGGGACCGAGCGGGGACAGCCAGACCAGUGGAGGCACGUGGAGAUGGGGACCAAUGUCACGAUGGGCAGCAAAAAGAAAACGAGGAGAUGUACUAUAAGAAGUGAGAGGAAGGCUCGUCUCUAAGCCAGAAGGACUCCUCCGCAUGGGCACCUAACUUCAUGACUCCCUACCCGAGAUGCCAGAGACCUGGUGAUGUGGGACCAGCCUCUGCCACCCAGGCCUUGGUAGUAGCCCCUGGCUGGUGGCUGCCGCGUACUGUGGGCACCGAGGUCCUCUUUCUCCACCAAUGCUUCCCCCCUGUCUCCAAGCCAUGAGGAGAGGGGAGAGGAGAGCGAAGCUGCUGAAGAACCACUAGCCCACGUCUUCCCAGCCCCUGUCCCGCUCCCCGCUUCUGGCAGACCAGGAACCCCU
This 761-nucleotide long non-coding RNA is filed under the name Calidris pugnax (ruff). RNAcentral's name for it is "lncRNA (ENSCPUG00000003115.1)". Lineage: Eukaryota; Metazoa; Chordata; Aves; Charadriiformes; Scolopacidae. The record is from RNAcentral.